This 339-nucleotide long non-coding RNA is filed under the name Manihot esculenta (cassava). RNAcentral describes it as "long non-coding RNA (MESC_LNC000267)". The record is from RNAcentral. Lineage: Eukaryota; Viridiplantae; Streptophyta; Magnoliopsida; Malpighiales; Euphorbiaceae.
CCAAGAUAAAUGACGAAAGUUCCGAUCAGCCUCGCCAUAAUAGCCUGUCAAGCGCCAAUUACCAACCCCUUCAAUAAAAACUUCGGUGUCAAUAUGGUGUUGCGAUGAGCUAAGAAGAGUAAUAGAAGAAACCAAUCUCCACAGUAAAGCCAGACCCCCACUAUGACCCAAGCAAUCCACACUGAAGAAACCAUCAUAAACCAACAAGUCUUUUAUUUCAUUCACCCGAGCAGAACAACAUAAAGUUUCAAUUAAGAAAAGAAAAUUUGGCCUCUUAACUCUAACCAUCUCUUUCAGGACCUGAACUGCUCGUGGGUUGCCAAGCCCACGACAGUUCCA